GGAAAGGUGGCUGAGUGGUUGAAGGCGCCAGUUUGGAAGACUGGUUUCGUUUCGAAACAUGGGUUCGAAUCCCAUUCUUUCC
RNAcentral lists this transfer RNA (82 nucleotides) under Bracteacoccus aerius. RNAcentral describes it as "tRNA-Ser". It matches the Rfam family "tRNA". From Rfam's summary of the family: Transfer RNA (tRNA) molecules are approximately 80 nucleotides in length. Their secondary structure includes four short double-helical elements and three loops (D, anti-codon, and T loops). Lineage: Eukaryota; Viridiplantae; Chlorophyta; Chlorophyceae; Sphaeropleales; Bracteacoccaceae. The record is from RNAcentral.